GAUGAACGCUGGCGGCGUGCCUAAUACAUGCAAGUCGAGCGAACGGGCGAGAAGCUUGCUUCUCUGAUGUUAGCGGCGGACGGGUGAUUAACACGUGGAUAACCUACCUAUAAGACUGGGAUAACUUCGGGAAACCGGAGCUAAUACCGGAUAAUAUUUUGAACCGCAUGGUUCAAAAGUGAAAGACGGUCUUGCUGUCACUUAUAGAUGGAUCCGCGCUGCAUUAGCUAGUUGGUAAGGUAACGGCUUACCAAGGCAACGAUGCAUAGCCGACCUGAGAGGGUGAUCGGCCACACUGGAACUGAGACACGGUCCAGACUCCUACGGGAGGCAGCAGUAGGGAAUCUUCCGCAAUGGGCGAAAGCCUGACGGAGCAACGCCGCGUGAGUGAUGAAGGUCUUCGGAUCGUAAAACUCUGUUAUUAGGGAAGAACAUAUGUGUAAGUAACUGUGCACAUCUUGACGGUACCUAAUCAGAAAGCCACGGCUAACUACGUG
Molecule: ribosomal RNA, 497 nt
Filed under: uncultured bacterium
Lineage: Bacteria
Description: partial 16S ribosomal RNA
Rfam family: Bacterial small subunit ribosomal RNA
Source: RNAcentral